AAAUAUAAAAUAAGUAUUUAUUCUGCACAAGACACAGAUCUUAACCUAAGUAUGUAUCUCUUUAAUAAUUUUGAAUCUUAAAUAUUUUCUAAAUGUCAGGCCAAAAUAAAAGAAAUAAAUGAGAAUAAACUCAAAAAUCAAUACUUAUAUCGAGCAAUAACAAAAAUGACAGAAAAAGAAAAAAACAUCGAAGAUAUAUAGGAUUGGCACGUGAACGUAAACUUUUCAUAACCAUAAUUAAUUUUUAAAUUGCUAAAUCAUGAUAUAAAACCAAACUGACAUAGUUUCAUUGUAAUCAAAUAGUAGGCAUGAUAAAUUUUCGGUCUAAACAUUAGGUUUUUAUGUGAUAAAUAAUUGUUUGAUAUAAAAUAUUUUUAAAAAUUAGAUCAGUUUAUUAUUAAACAAAUUAUGUAAUUAAAAAAAAAUAGGUUUUUAAAAAAAAAAAUUAAAAGCAAAAUAUAUCAAUGGGCAAAUCUCCAAAAUAGCACUUUUCUAAGUUUAUGUCACAAAUAGCCCUCAAAAAACUAAAAUGACCAAAAUAGCAUUUUUUAUUUUGAAAAUUUUAAGUUUUUUAAAUUUUUUUAAAUUGGAAAUCAUUUCCCCAAAACCCCACUCCUCAACUUUAAACAAAAAGAUCUAGGAUUAGUUAACUCAAGGAGUAAAAAUGAAUAAUUUAUAAAACAUUUAAGUGCUAUUUUGAUCAAUUUUAUUCUUAAGUGCUAUAUUUGUG
RNAcentral lists this long non-coding RNA (730 nucleotides) under Brassica rapa (field mustard). RNAcentral's name for it is "long non-coding RNA (BRAP_LNC004176)". Lineage: Eukaryota; Viridiplantae; Streptophyta; Magnoliopsida; Brassicales; Brassicaceae. The record is from RNAcentral.